AGCUUUGCGCAGAGGCAGUGUCAUAGCCGAUGAGGUACUACCGAGGCGUGACUAUUUGCUAGUUGAAAACCUAUGGGACAUCAACUAUGUAAUACAUUUUGAUGCGUGUAAUUCCCUCUUCUAUAAUUAUCUACUGGGA
Small nuclear RNA from Stegodyphus dumicola, 139 nucleotides. RefSeq annotates it as U4 spliceosomal RNA. The record is from RefSeq and is a predicted model, not a curated record. Lineage: Eukaryota; Metazoa; Arthropoda; Arachnida; Araneae; Eresidae.